AGUCUUAUAUUCAAAAAAUGAUAUAAAAUUGCAAAUUUUAAGUUGAUUAAUUUAAUAUCUAAGGCUU
This 67-nucleotide transfer RNA is filed under the name Scythropia crataegella. RNAcentral's name for it is "tRNA-Cys". Lineage: Eukaryota; Metazoa; Arthropoda; Insecta; Lepidoptera; Scythropiidae. The record is from RNAcentral.